RNAcentral lists this ribosomal RNA (945 nucleotides) under Triticum aestivum (bread wheat). Its description in RNAcentral is "partial small subunit ribosomal RNA". Lineage: Eukaryota; Viridiplantae; Streptophyta; Magnoliopsida; Poales; Poaceae. The record is from RNAcentral.
AUGUACGUAAUGUUCGGCCAAGCUUUGUAUCGGUCUGGUCGGUAUGAUGUUGAAGAAGUUGAGCGAGGCAUCACCUACAAAGUUCGGCACGUCGAAGCUGAGAAGCGAGAGAAGUGGGGCCGCAAAAUGCAUGUGGUAAGUGUCCAUGAUGGCGGCGCUAGGUUUACCUGCGAAUGUGGGCUCUUCGAGCACAUGGGGAUGCUUUGUUGCCAUGCUAUCAAGCAGGUCCUAAUUCAUCUGGGGGUGAGAAAAAUACCCAGUUUCCAUGUUCUCAAGAGGUGGAUAGUAGAUGCCCACGACAAUUUGCCACUCCACCUUCUCCAUUACCAAAAGGAUCAAGGCCCUCCGCGGUUAUCCUCCUACAGGCAUACAGCACUACACCUGACCGCUCUCGAGUUUGUGCAGCUAGGGGAUAGCAACGUGGAUGCAUUCGACAGAGCAAUGGCCAUAUUGAUCGCAGGCAAGGCGGAGUUGACUGUUUUGGCACCCAUCAAGGAUGGCAAAAGUUUGGUGGACCAAACUCAAAUCAGGGAUUCAGCCAAUCCCAGUCAGGAUGUGGGAUCAGGUUCCUCACACCCAGACGACAUGUGUUCUCAGAUGUUCAUCUCCACCGAGUGUGGACUUAAUUCUGUUUCAGGGGAAGCUGGCUCAAGCCUCUCACUGUCGACGUUGCUGCCUCCCGAUAGGAAGAAGCAGAAGGGUAGGCCAACCACAGUAAGGAACAAGCCUGGAUAUGAGGUCAAGGACGCGCGGUCGAGGUUUUGUACGGUUUGUAGGGAGAAAGGGCACAAGAGCACGACGUGCCCCCGCCGGGGUGAUCUUCCGAAGAAACCUUGCAAAAUACCUACCUGCGGCAAUUGUGGUGUAGUUGGGCACAAGAAAACAAGUUGCUUCAACCCAGUAUUGCCAUUCGUGAAGAGGCCUCACGACGGUCCAGUUGAGUGA